CCUACGGGUGGCAGCAGUGAGGAAUAUUGGUCAAUGGCCGGGAGGCUGAACCAGCCAAGUCGCGUGAGGGAAGACGGCCCUACGGGUUGUAAACCUCGUUUGCCAGGGAGCAAGGUGCAGGUCGGGACCUGCUGUGAGUGUACCUGAAGAAAAAGCAUCGGCUAACUCCGUGCCAGCAGCCGCGGCAAUACGGAGGAUGGGAGCGUUAGCCGGAUUUAUUGGGUUUAAAGGGUGGGCAGGCGGAGGCACAAGUCAGCGGUAAAAUCGCGGGGCUCAACCCCGCUCCGCCGUUGAAACUGGGUACCUUGAGUGCGCGAAGGGUAGGCGGAAUGCGUGGUGUAGCGGUGAAAUGCAUAGAUAUCACGCAGAACUCCGAUGGCGAAGGCGGCCUACUGGCGCGCAACUGACGCUCAUGCACGAAAGCGUGGGUAUCGAACAGGAUUAGAUACCCCGGUAGUC
This 459-nucleotide ribosomal RNA is filed under the name uncultured bacterium. Its description in RNAcentral is "partial 16S ribosomal RNA". It matches the Rfam family "Bacterial small subunit ribosomal RNA", at positions 338 to 795 of the family's 1533-position model. The record is from RNAcentral.